This 485-nucleotide ribosomal RNA is filed under the name uncultured bacterium. Its description in RNAcentral is "partial 16S ribosomal RNA". It matches the Rfam family "Bacterial small subunit ribosomal RNA", at positions 28 to 523 of the family's 1533-position model. The record is from RNAcentral.
GACGAACGCUGGCGGCGUGCUUAACACAUGCAAGUCGAACGGUGAAAGCGGAGCUUGCUCCGCUGGAUCAGUGGCGAACGGGUGAGUAACACGUGGGCAACCUGCCCCUCACUUCGGGAUAACUCCGGGAAACCGGGGCUAAUACCGGAUAUGACCUCCUUGGGCAUCCUUGGAGGUGGAAAGUUUUUCGGUGAGGGAUGGGCCCGCGGCCUAUCAGCUUGUUGGUGAGGUAGUGGCUCACCAAGGCGACGACGGGUGGCCGGCCUGAGAGGGCGACCGGCCACACGGGGACUGAGACACGGCCCAGACUCCUACGGGAGGCAGCAGUGGGGAAUAUUGCGCAAUGGGCGAAAGCCUGACGCAGCAACGCCGCGUGCGGGAUGACGGCCUUCGGGUUGUAAACCGCUUUCAGCAGGGAAGAAGCCGCAAGGUGACGGUACCUGCAGAAGAAGCACCGGCUAACUACGUGCCAGCCGCCGCCGUAA